Acanthaster planci (crown-of-thorns starfish) is the source of this 970-nucleotide long non-coding RNA. The record is from RefSeq and is a predicted model, not a curated record. NCBI's taxonomy places the organism in Eukaryota, Metazoa, Echinodermata, Asteroidea, Valvatida, Acanthasteridae.
GGGUACUUGGUCAAGGUGCAUGCGAAGAACGGUUUAUAUCUGGAUAAACAUUACUUUGGAUGCAUACAUUGCCAUUUGAAGAAAUGCAAAAACAGCAUUCGCAGUAUUUUUGCAGGAUAAUUUAACAGCUGUUUGAGGGAAUGUCAACCAUUUAAACAAAUUUCAUCGAGUUGUUUACGUCUCCAACUCUGAUCAGUCAUGAGAGCCAUUAUGGUACUUCUCUUCAUUCUUUGGCUUGGUCGUGCACAAGGAUUGAGUCCCGCUGAAAAAAGCGAAAUGGACUCGCAGGAUGAUCUGUGUCAGUUUCUGGAAAACAUGAUUUGUACCACAACCGACGAUUGCCAGAGCACGGGCUGUUAUGCGCUCAGCUGUCACUUCGAGAGACACAGGUGCCACUAUCCAGAAAAGCACUCUAAGAUGGUACUCCAGUGAUCAUAAGGCAAAAGAGGUAUCCAUGGAUUCAGAACAACGGUUCCUGUGCAGGAUGUCUACAUGGUACCACACAAGAUACCAGAUACAUACCAGAUUUGGGCGGUUAAAGAUGUUCUUUGUCGCUUACUCACGAGAUUGUUAAUCACUUUUAUUCAACACCUUAAGAGGAUACUUUUUUAAGAAAAUGAUGUCAAACUGAUGAUAGUAAUCAAAGGUUUGGUUUCUUAAUUAGAUAGCUUAGAUCAUUAACGACGCGUGUAAUGUUUGGUUCAGUAAUGGCUUGUCUUAGUUAAUCUGAGUUAAGAAUUAUACCUUUAUAUGUUGAUCGACAAAAUGUAAUUUCUUUUGAUUUGGAAAUAUAGGUUUUGUUGAGUGGUUCAACAAACAAAAGGCUGUACUGUGUCGUAAAGACAACGUAAAAUCGUGCAUGUAAUAGCAGUUUUGCAUGUAACAGAAGCAAAGUAAGAAUACUACUAUUUAUUAAGCUGUAUUCAAUAAACUGUGGACACAUGUUUACAAACUAUUUUUCGAAUCUGAA